RNAcentral lists this non-coding RNA (31 nucleotides) under Mus musculus (house mouse). Lineage: Eukaryota; Metazoa; Chordata; Mammalia; Rodentia; Muridae. The record is from RNAcentral.
GAUAUUUUCUCCACUGAAACUGAAAGAACAU